This 494-nucleotide ribosomal RNA is filed under the name uncultured bacterium. Its description in RNAcentral is "partial 16S ribosomal RNA". It matches the Rfam family "Bacterial small subunit ribosomal RNA", at positions 28 to 507 of the family's 1533-position model. The record is from RNAcentral.
GACGAACGCUGGCGGCGUGCUUAACACAUGCAAGUCGAACGGUGAAGCGCCUUCCUUUUUGGUGGGUGUGGAUGAGUGGCGAACGGGUGAGUAACACGUGAGUAACCUGCCCCCUUCUUCUGGAUAACCGCAUGAAAGUGUGGCUAAUACGGGAUAUUCUGGGUCUGUCGCAUGAUGGGUCUGGGAAAGAUAUUGUUUCGGUGGGGGAUGGGCUCGCGGCCUAUCAGCUUGUUGGUGGGGUGAUGGCCUACCAAGGCGGUGACGGGUAGCCGGCCUGAGAGGGUGGACGGUCACACUGGGACUGAGACACGGCCCAGACUCCUACGGGAGGCAGCAGUGGGGAAUAUUGCACAAUGGGCGCAAGCCUGAUGUAGCGACGCCGCGUGAGGGAUGGAGGCCUUCGGGUUGUGAACCUCUUUCGCCAGUGAAGCAGGCCUGCCUCGUUUGUGGGUGGGUUGACGGUAGCUGGAUAAGAAGCGCCGGCUAACUACGUG